RNAcentral lists this unclassified non-coding RNA (684 nucleotides) under uncultured Prochlorococcus sp. RNAcentral's name for it is "partial may contain 16S ribosomal RNA, 16S-23S ribosomal RNA intergenic spacer, and 23S ribosomal RNA". The stretch from base 1 to 97 matches the Rfam family "Bacterial small subunit ribosomal RNA", at positions 1437 to 1533 of the family's 1533-position model. The record is from RNAcentral. Lineage: Bacteria; Bacillati; Cyanobacteriota; Cyanophyceae; Synechococcales; Prochlorococcaceae.
ACCCUUGUGGAGGAGGACGCCGAAGGUGGGGCUAAUGACUGGGGUGAAGUCGUAACAAGGUAGCCGUACCGGAAGGUGCGGCUGGAUCACCUCCUAACAGGGAGACAACAAAAUGUUUAUAUUAUUAUUUUGUCACCUUAGGUCGAUCGGUAUCUCACAUUUUUAAUUUAUUAAGAAUUUCAUUUCCUAAGUUUUUCUAGGUCACACCCAUUAUUUUUCCUGGGCCAUUAGCUCAGGUGGUUAGAGCGCACCCCUGAUAAGGGUGAGGUCCCUGGUUCAAGUCCAGGAUGGCCCAUAUCUCUAUGUUGGGGGUAUAGCUCAGUUGGUAGAGCGCCUGCUUUGCAAGCAGGAUGUCAGCGGUUCGAGUCCGCUUACCUCCACUGAUUACCACCUCUUCCAUAUUCGUUAGAAAGGAAAUGUUUUGAGAUGUGAUCAAAUUCUGAACGAAUCUAGCUUCCUAAUCAAUCAUAUUAAGAUGCUGGACUCAUUGAAUUUACUUCAUUGUUUUCAGAGAACCUUGACAACUGCAUAGAUUAUUUUUAAAGACAAUAAGCAUCUUUAAUGAUGCAGAUUUAUUAUUUGUGCGAAUGCAUUAAUAACAAUUCUAUUAAGCUGAUGCUUCAAUUUUGAAGUUAUUGGUCAAGCUACAAAGGGCUCACGGAGGAUACCUAGGCACACAGAGGC